Molecule: ribosomal RNA, 483 nt
Filed under: uncultured bacterium
Lineage: Bacteria
Description: partial 16S ribosomal RNA
Rfam family: Bacterial small subunit ribosomal RNA
Source: RNAcentral
UUGCACGCUGGCGGCAGGCCUAACCCCUGCAAGUCGAGUGGAUGAAGGGAGCUUGCUCCUGGAUUCAGCGGCGGACGGGUGAGUAAUGCCUAGGAAUCUGCCUGGUAGUGGGGGAUAACGUCCGGAAACGGGCGCUAAUACCGCAUACGUCCUGAGGGAGAAAGUGGGGGAUCUUCGGACCUCACGCUAUCAGAUGAGCCUAGGUCGGAUUAGCUAGUUGGUGGGGUAAAGGCCUACCAAGGCGACGAUCCGUAACUGGUCUGAGAGGAUGAUCAGUCACACUGGAACUGAGACACGGUCCAGACUCCUACGGGAGGCAGCAGUGGGGAAUAUUGGACAAUGGGCGAAAGCCUGAUCCAGCCAUGCCGCGUGUGUGAAGAAGGUCUUCGGAUUGUAAAGCACUUUAAGUUGGGAGGAAGGGCAGUAAGUUAAUACCUUGCUGUUUUGACGUUACCAACAGAAUAAGCACCGGCUAACUUCGUG